GAUGAACGCUGGCGGCGUGCCUAAUACAUGCAAGUAGAACGCUGAAGGAGGAGCUUGCUCUUCUGGAUGAGUUGCGAACGGGUGAGUAACGCGUAGGUAACCUGCCUGGUAGCGGGGGAUAACUAUUGGAAACGAUAGCUAAUACCGCAUGACAACAGUUAUUGCAUGAUAACUGUUUAAAAGGGGCAACUGCUCCACUACCAGAUGGACCUGCGUUGUAUUAGCUAGUUGGUGAGGUAACGGCUCACCAAGGCGACGAUACAUAGCCGACCUGAGAGGGUGAUCGGCCACACUGGGACUGAGACACGGCCCAGACUCCUACGGGAGGCAGCAGUAGGGAAUCUUCGGCAAUGGACGGAAGUCUGACCGAGCAACGCCGCGUGAGUGAAGAAGGUUUUCGGAUCGUAAGGCUCUGUUGUAAGAGAAGAACGAGUGUGAGAGUGGAAAGUUCACACUGUGACGGUAUCUUACCAGAAAGGGACGGCUAACUACGUG
RNAcentral lists this ribosomal RNA (495 nucleotides) under uncultured bacterium. RNAcentral describes it as "partial 16S ribosomal RNA". It matches the Rfam family "Bacterial small subunit ribosomal RNA", at positions 28 to 507 of the family's 1533-position model. The record is from RNAcentral.